CCUCAACCCAAGACACUCUGAAAGCAAAGGUGGUGGUGUAGGGUUUCUGCUCUCGCCUCAUUGAUCCUUCAAACCUCUACCCACCCCCCAUUCCCUCUCUUUCUUCUCAUUUGAAUUUCAUAAAAUUUGCUUUUUCAAACCCAUCUCUGCUAACAGUGUCAUUAUGUAUUGUCGCCCUGGUUCCCCUCUCCUCUUCCUUGACCACUUUGCUGCUUGGCUUCCCUACUUCCUCUCCUCUAAUAUUACAUCCCUAAUUCUUGGGGACUUCAACAUUCCCAUUAACCUACCCUUGUCCUCAGUAGCCUCAAAACUGCUUUCCAUGACAUCCUCCCUUGGGCUAUCACAAUGGUGUAAGUCCCCAACCCAUCUAGCUGGCAGUACCCUUGAACAUAUUUUUUCUCAUGAAUGUACAAUCUCUAAUCUCUGCAACACUCCAUUUCCUCUUUCAGAUCACCACCUCUUAUCAUUUACUCUCAAUAGUCACCUACCCCAUCG
This is a non-coding RNA of Pelobates cultripes (western spadefoot toad), 495 nucleotides long. The record is from the annotation of a GenBank genome assembly. NCBI's taxonomy places the organism in Eukaryota, Metazoa, Chordata, Amphibia, Anura, Pelobatidae.